This is a small nuclear RNA of Oryzias melastigma (Indian medaka), 117 nucleotides long. The record is from Ensembl. Lineage: Eukaryota; Metazoa; Chordata; Actinopteri; Beloniformes; Adrianichthyidae.
CCCUUGACUGAAAGCAGAGAUGGUUAGCACUCCCCUUGAGAUGGCCAUGUAGCCUGCAGCACACAUACGGUUAAGACAUUGCCACCUACCUUGUGGCAUCUCUAACCAAGCUUUCUG